Molecule: long non-coding RNA, 476 nt
Organism: Zophobas morio
Lineage: Eukaryota; Metazoa; Arthropoda; Insecta; Coleoptera; Tenebrionidae
Exons: 4
Source: RefSeq, a predicted model, not a curated record
AUUUAUGUAUAGAGGUAUAAAAGGAAAGGAUUCGGAUUUAGUAAUUCCUGAAAACAAUAUGAUCGCUUUAGUGUUAUUUCUGGCUGUUUUAUUAAGUGUUUGUGAUUGUUCCAGCUACAAAAAAUAUGAGCGAGAAGUACACUAUUUUGAUGAGGGUUUGAACGAAGUUGUUUAUAUUUCGCAAAAAAUGUACGAAGUGUCAGAGCUAGCGGAAAUUUCAUCAUGUAUUUUAAACGAAUUUGCUGCAACGGAAAUUAAUUAUUAUAGGACCGAAUUUCGUUCCAACUCUUUACGAAAUGAAAACACCUUUUCGGAAAUUACAGUCCUGAGUAAAUAUGAAUGUUCGAAAUCUGAAAUUUCGGACUGGUUUAGGCUGCAUUUUCCUGUUAAGAUACGACAAAGAAAAAUUUGGUUUCCUAAUAAUUAUUAAUUUUGUAUUUACUUUCAUGCUAUUAAAAUAAAAAUUUGGCAAUUUA